This 79-nucleotide ribosomal RNA is filed under the name Desulforamulus aquiferis. RNAcentral describes it as "partial 23S ribosomal RNA". It matches the Rfam family "Bacterial large subunit ribosomal RNA", at positions 2846 to 2925 of the family's 2925-position model. Lineage: Bacteria; Bacillati; Bacillota; Clostridia; Eubacteriales; Peptococcaceae. The record is from RNAcentral.
UACAUGGUAGAUAGGCCGGGGGUGUAAGGGCAGCAAUGCCUGCAGCCGACCGGUACUAAUAGGUCGAGGUCUUGACCUA